RNAcentral lists this unclassified non-coding RNA (353 nucleotides) under soil metagenome. RNAcentral describes it as "partial contains 5.8S ribosomal RNA, internal transcribed spacer 2, and large subunit ribosomal RNA". The stretch from base 1 to 120 matches the Rfam family "5.8S ribosomal RNA", at positions 35 to 154 of the family's 154-position model. The record is from RNAcentral.
GAUGAAGAACGCAGCGAAAUGCGAUAAGUAAUGUGAAUUGCAGAAUUCAGUGAAUCAUCGAAUCUUUGAACGCACAUUGCGCCCGCCAGUAUUCUGGCGGGCAUGCCUGUUCGAGCGUCAUUACAACCCUCAGGCCCCCGGGCCUGGCGUUGGGGAUCGGCGGAAGCCCCCUGCGGGCACAACGCCGUCCCCCAAAUACAGUGGCGGUCCCGCCGCAGCUUCCAUUGCGUAGUAGCUAACACCUCGCAACUGGAGAGCGGCGCGGCCACGCCGUAAAACACCCAACUUCUGAAUGUUGACCUCGAAUCAGUUAGGAAUACCCGCUGAACUUAAGCAUAUCAAUAAGCGGAGGA